CGGGUUUCCAGAGAUGGAUUCCUUCACUUCGGUGACCUGCACGACAGGUGCUGCGUGGCUGUCGUCAGCUCGUGUCGUGAGAUGUUGGGUUAAGUCCCGCAACGAGCGCAACCCUGCCCUUAGUGCCAUCAUUCAGUUGGGCACGUCUAAGGGGACUGCCGGUGAUAAGCCGGAGGAAGGUGGGGAUGAUGUCAAGUCUUCAUGGCCCUUACGGGCUGGGCUACACACGUGCUACAAUGGCGGUGACAGAGGGCAGCCACUCCGCGAGGAGGCGCUAAUCCCGAAAAGCCGUCUCAGUUCGGAUUGCACUCUGCAACUCGAGUGCAUGAAGUCGGAAUCGCUAGUAAUCGCAGAUCAGCAUGCUGCGGUGAAUACGUUCCCGGGCCUUGUACACACCGCCCGUCACACCAUGGGAGUUGGUUCUACCCGAAGCCGGUGCGCCAACCGCAAGGAGGCAGCCGACCACGGUAGGGUCAGCGACUGGGGUGAAGUCGUAACAAGGUAAGCGUAGUGCU
This 515-nucleotide ribosomal RNA is filed under the name uncultured bacterium. Its description in RNAcentral is "bacterial SSU rRNA". It matches the Rfam family "Bacterial small subunit ribosomal RNA", at positions 991 to 1509 of the family's 1533-position model. The record is from RNAcentral.